GUCCACCUUUUGCAACUUUGAGAAAAUCCAGAGACUCAUGACUGGUAGAACAAAGAACUGAGAGUGGACUGAGAAACCAAUGCAAGGGAAGAGGCAAUCUUUGGUGAGCCCACUCAGCCACCAAACAUUUAGGUUCUUGGCUGGCAGGGUUUGAUUCAGAAUUUUCCUCAGGAAUGGUGUCCAGUAAGACACUUCUUCUUUUAGAGUUCUUAUGGAAUGCUUGCUCAUUUCCAGCAGCAGAUUUACGCUUCUG
RNAcentral lists this unclassified non-coding RNA (253 nucleotides) under Hevea brasiliensis (rubber tree). The record is from RNAcentral. Lineage: Eukaryota; Viridiplantae; Streptophyta; Magnoliopsida; Malpighiales; Euphorbiaceae.